Molecule: RNA transcript, 5403 nt
Organism: Pezoporus occidentalis (night parrot)
Lineage: Eukaryota; Metazoa; Chordata; Aves; Psittaciformes; Psittacidae
Gene: LRFN5
Gene name: leucine rich repeat and fibronectin type III domain containing 5
Exons: 4
Source: RefSeq, a predicted model, not a curated record
GGAGCGGCGCGGAGCCCGCAUGGCCCUGCCGCCGGCCGCCCCUGCGGGCUGCGCGGCCGCUCCGCUGUAGCAACCCCUUCGGGAAGGCGCCGGCCCGGCGGCGGGGCUGGCCGCGGCCGCGCUCCUCUCCACCCCGGCCCCGUCCGUCUGUCCGGCCGCCAGUCCCUCCGUCCGUCCAGCGGCAGCGCCCAGGAUUACGCAGCUGGGCGCGGAGCGGCAGCGCUUGGCGAGGAUCAACCUGGCGCAGGCUCUUGAACCUGAUCUACAAUGGAAAAACUGCUUUUGUUUCUGCUGUUCAUUGGCAUAGCGGUGAGAGCUCAGAUCUGCCCAAAGCGCUGUGUCUGUCAGAUUUUGUCUCCGAACCUUGCCACCCUUUGUGCCAAGAAAGGGCUCUUAUUUGUUCCUCCCAAUAUUGACAGGAGGACCGUGGAGUUACGGCUGGCAGACAACUUUGUUACAAACAUUAAAAGGAAGGACUUUGCCAAUAUGACCAGCCUGGUGGACCUGACGCUGUCCAGGAAUACAAUCAGUUUUAUUACACCUCACGCAUUUGCUGACUUGCGUAAUUUGCGGGCUUUGCAUCUGAACAGCAACCGAUUGACUAAGAUCACAAAUGACAUGUUCAGUGGACUCUCCAAUCUUCACCACUUGAUACUUAACAACAACCAGCUGACUUUAAUUUCUUCUACAGCUUUUGAUGAUGUUUUAGCUCUUGAGGAAUUGGAUUUGUCUUACAACAACCUGGAAACCAUCCCCUGGGAUGCCGUGGAGAAGAUGGUUAGUUUGCACACUCUCAGUCUAGACCAUAACAUGAUUGACCAUAUUCCCAAGGGGACCUUCUCCCACCUGCACAAGAUGACCCGGUUGGAUGUCACGUCUAACAAACUGCAGAAGCUACCACCUGAUCCUCUCUUCCAGCGAGCUCAAGUACUAGCAACCUCAGGAAUUAUCAGCCCCUCGACUUUUGCAUUGAGCUUUGGUGGGAACCCUUUGCAUUGCAACUGUGAGCUUUUGUGGUUGAGGCGUCUUUCAAGGGAGGAUGACCUGGAGACUUGUGCUUCUCCCACGCUCUUGUCUGGCCGGUACUUCUGGUCAAUCCCUGAGGAGGAGUUCCUGUGUGAGCCUCCUCUCAUCACCCGGCACACCCAUGAGCUGCGGGUGCUGGAGGGCCAGCGGGCAGCAUUGCGGUGUAAGGCCCGGGGGGACCCUGAGCCAGCAAUUCAUUGGAUUUCACCUGAGGGCAAACUGAUUUCAAAUGCAACGAGGUCUGUAGUGUAUGACAACGGGACACUUGACAUCCUGAUAACAACGGUGAAGGAUACAGGCUCCUUCACCUGCAUUGCUUCCAAUCCAGCUGGGGAGGCCACGCAGACAGUGGACCUGCACAUAAUCAAACUCCCCCACUUGCUGAACAGCACGAACCACAUCCACGAGCCUGACCCUGGCUCCUCGGAUAUCUCUACUUCCACCAAGUCAGGCUCCAACGCGAGCAGUAGCAAUGGGGAUACUAAAGUCAGCCAAGAUAAGAAGGUGGUCGUUGCGGAAGCAACAUCUUCUACUGCUCUGCUGAAAUUCAAUUUUCAGAGGAAUAUACCUGGGAUACGUAUGUUCCAAAUCCAGUACAAUGGUACUUAUGAUGACUCCCUUGUUUACAGAAUGAUACCUCCCACAAGCAAAACCUUCCUGGUCAACAACCUGGCUGCUGGGACUGUGUAUGACCUCUGCGUUCUGGCGAUCUACGACGACGGGAUCACCUCGCUCACCGCCACCAGGGUGGUGGGCUGCACGCAGUUCACCACUGAGCAGGAUUAUGUGCGCUGCCACUUCAUGCAGUCCCAGUUCCUGGGUGGGACCAUGAUUAUCAUCAUUGGUGGGAUCAUUGUGGCCUCUGUGCUUGUGUUCAUCAUCAUCCUCAUGAUCCGCUACAAGGUGUGUAACAACAACGGGCAGCAGAAGGCCACCAAGGUCAGCAACGUAUACUCACAGACGAACGGGGCUCAGAUCCAGGGCUGCAGUGGGGUGCUGUCGCAGUCGAUGUCCAAGCAGGCUGUUGGGCAUGAAGAGGGCAUCCAGUGCUGCAAGGCUGCUAGCGAUGGCGUGACGCAGUCGCCAGAGACUGGCUCCAGCCAGGACUCGGCCACUACUACCUCCACUUUGCCUCCCACCUGGACUUCUAGCACUUCUGUCUCCCAGAAGCAGAAGCGAAAGUCGGGGCCAAAGCCAAGCAGCGAGUCGCAGAGUGAAGCUGUCAGCAGUAUCGAGUCCCAAAACAGUAACAGAAAUAACUCCACUGCCCUGCAGUUAGCUAGCCGUCCCCCUGACUCUGUCAAAGGGGCCCCCACGUACAAAAGAGCACAAUCAAAGCCAAGUAAGUUCCUCACUUUGCCAGCUGACGCAUCCCGAGCCAAGCGCAGGCUCUCCCUGGGCGGCGAGCUGAUGGAGUCCCGCUGCCCCAGCAGCACCUGGGGCGCAGGCGGACUGCGGUCCAAAAGGAGCAUGUCCAUGAAUGGGAUGCUAGUUCAGUCGGACAGCUCUGAUGUGAAUAGUGGAAAAGCAACUUUCUCCAGUUCUGAGUGGAUAUUGGAAAGCACUGUGUGACCUGCCUUUUUUUUUUAUUAUUAUUUUUCUUUUUUUAUUUUAGUUUUUAUUUCAAUGAAAAAAUGCCAAACGUGUGAAUCUCCAUCUUCCAGGGAAUUGGAUUUGGAAGUCCACUGCUGUCUCGCUGAUUAAUGGCUUGUUCAUGCAGGGUUCUGUAUAAGCCACCCAGUGCACAUGGGGUUUUAUUUAGUUUUCAUUUGGUUUUAUUUAAUAUCAAAACCGAAGGCAACAUUUAGAGGUUAAAAGUAUAAAAAUAAAAAAAAAAAAAAGGAAAAAAAAAGAUUAAGGGGUGAAAAAGAAGCAUGAAACAGCACCAGUGCCUUCCCUACUCUAGGACUGGCUUCCUGGUUCUGCAGUAGCAGAAAACAAAAGAGAGAGUUUUCACAGAAAAAGCCUUUUAUAAAGGAAAUGAAAUUUCCUCCAAGCUAACAAAUAACCACUUCUGGAUCAAUCAGUAAAAUGAUAUUUUUUAAAACGGUCAGACUGUAUAUUUCUUUUCCGUGACAAUGGUGUUGCCUUUGUUUUUAGGCAGAUGCUGUACAAGAACAGCAACGCUGUGUUGUUAUGUUGUGUAAAAUAAACUAUUCACUCCGUACACCAGCCAGCCUCACGGUAACUGCCACCUCAGAGCUGUGCUGGGGCCUGCGGGUUGCUGCUCAGUGGGUCCCACUGUGGGGCCAGGAGGAGCAGGAGGAGGGUGCCGGGGUCCCUCUCCUCCUGCUGGGGUCUGGCUUGCUGGGGUUGGGUGCUGGUGGAGCAGCAGGACUCUGCCACUGGACCUCACCAAGAGAGUGCCUGACAUGUAGACCACCCUCAUCCUGUGGUGCUGGGUCUGGCAGUGGUGACCAGCCACUCACUGCGCACCCUUCUCAGCCCCAUCCGAGAGCCUGGUCCUGCUGCCACAAUGGCUUUGCCUAGUGCCAAUGCUGGAAAAACACAUUGUGUUCAGCAGCAGGGAUGCUGUGCCCAACUCAUGCGGGACUUGGUUUGCUGCUCCGUUUUCAGACCUGAUUCCUGCUCUGGCAGUCAGUGCAGUGAAGGUUGUUCCUUCCCAUCAGCACAGGGGCAUGAGGCGUGAAACGCUGGAAAUGGGAGCCUGCGGGAAGUGUGGGAGCAGCCCUGCGGCAUGGGCACUGCAGCAGUCCCGCAGGACUCCUCUGGGACAGGAGAUGUGAUGGGGGGCACCAGGCAGAGUGCUGGCAUCUUGGGGUGUGGGACAGGAAGCCAAGCAGGGGCAGCGAGUAGGGCUGGUGGGUCAUCCCAGAGCUGCAGGGCAGGGCUGCAGCAGACGGGCUCGUAGCCAUUCAGUGCCUCACAGUGGUGAUUGAUGAGGAUGAUAAUGGUUAUUUCUGUCUUUCCUGGACUUUUGGGGCAUAUUUCUUGUAAACUCUAUGGUUUAUUCCAGUUCUGUUUAAUCCCCAUGCAUAAUGGGACUGGAAGAUGGUCUCAUCUUCAACCUGCUGAUUGCAGUGCCUGUGGGAUAGACAUAACAUCUGGCAAUAGGUGAUAGCAAUUGAAAACCCCCAUGUGUGAGGGGUUCUGCUGCUCUGCUUGUUCUAAAGAAAAGUCUACCAUUCAUAUUAAUUAAACUCAUGUGGUCAUCAUGUUUAAAUUAGAGACAGCUUAACUCUGCAACAUAGUGCAUUCUCAAAUGCCAAAUAACAGGUUUGACUGGGGCAUUGUGGCCAUUAAAAUGUUAGAAUAGUUACAUUUUACACCCUGCGUGCUUGCGCUUGAGGGCAAUGUAACCCAAGCAGAUGCCUGGAGAUGCCCUGGUUCUAACCAGGGCAGAGGGCCAGCUCGAGAGCAGUUGUGGAUGGGGAUGUCUUGUGUCUGGGGACAUCUGGCAGGCCCCUGGUCUCUGAGGCCCUGAAGCUCAGGGCUGAUGCGCAGGAAAGGUGACCCUUCUUCCUCUCAGCCAUCGUGGGUUGCUCUCUGUGAUUUUACUGCCUGGUGUGGAAAAACGAAGUCUGGGUGGGAGUGGUGCAAAGGACAUAAACAGAAGAGGCUGUUUCUUUUUUAGAGAGCCCUUUUAACUUCCCUUGGGAAAUGCGGAGACAAAAAAAGAAAUGAAGCCUCAAAAUUAGAAUGCCCCCUUCUUACUGCAAAAGUAACAAAAAAACCUCAGCCACCCCAAAAAAAUCCCUCCCUAGAUUUCUCUGGAAGACUACAUUCUUCUCAAGAGGCUGUGUGCACAGAAGCUAGCUAUUAAAAUAGUACACUGUCAGAGGCAGUGAGUAUUUGUCCAACCUCCAGUAGUCUGAUGCCAAAGGCACUGUCAAACAUGGUAAAAGCAAGUGCUCUCAUGGCCCAGUGAGAAGCUGCUCUCUGCAGACAGCACCAGUACUUGGGUAUGGAGAUAGCUUCAAAGGUUUUCUGCUGAGAAGCCGGGGCUGAUCCGCAGGAUGCCUGCCCUCCUCUGCUCCCUGAAAACGUUGCAACCGAUGUUCUUACUCGGCAGAAAACAAUACGAUUCCAACUCACUGAAGAUUAAUGUGCUGCACCACACUCACCCUACCGAAACCUUUACUUGAAGCUGCAGCCAAAGCCAAGAGGCCGUCGAGGUUGGCUGCGUCCGAUAAACUGUCUUCCCCCUUUCACAGAUUGCCCAUCUCCAUCUGCCACAUUAAGUCUAAAUACCUUUUUUUCUGGUGUCCAAGGUUUUUAUAAAACUUAAAAAUUACAAUGAAAAAUCUGGUGGCAACAGCUGCAGUCCCGAGUCAUGUUAAAUGUCUCCAAUGGUGAGUUCACAAACUGUAAACAUGGUAGCUUAUAUCACCUGAACAAAUAAAUGUUUUACUAUGA